GAUGAACGCUGGCGGCGUGCCUAAUACAUGCAAGUCGAGCGAACAGACGAGGAGCUUGCUCCUCUGACGUUAGCGGCGGACGGGUGAGUAACACGUGGAUAACCUACCUAUAAGACUGGGAUAACUUCGGGAAACCGGAGCUAAUACCGGAUAAUAUAUUGAACCGCAUGGUUCAAUAGUGAAAGACGGGUUUGCCGUCACUUAUAGAUGGAUCCGCGCCGCAUUAGCUAGUUGGUAAGGUAACGGCUUACCAAGGCAACGAUGCGUAGCCGACCUGAGAGGGUGAUCGGCCACACUGGAACUGAGACACGGUCCAGACUCCUACGGGAGGCAGCAGUAGGGAAUCUUCCGCAAUGGGCGAAAGCCUGACGGAGCAACGCCGCGUGAGUGAUGAAGGUCUUCGGAUCGUAAAACUCUGUUAUUAGGGAAGAACAAAUGUGUAAGUAACUAUGCACGUCUUGACGGUACCUAAUCAGAAAGCCACGGCUAACUACGUG
This 497-nucleotide ribosomal RNA is filed under the name uncultured bacterium. Its description in RNAcentral is "partial 16S ribosomal RNA". It matches the Rfam family "Bacterial small subunit ribosomal RNA", at positions 28 to 507 of the family's 1533-position model. The record is from RNAcentral.